GAUGAACGCUGGCGGCGUGCCUAAUACAUGCAAGUCGAGCGAACGGACGAGAAGCUUGCUUCUCUGAUGUUAGCGGCGGACGGGUGAGUAACACGUGGAUAACCUACCUAUAAGACUGGGAUAACUUCGGGAAACCGGAGCUAAUACCGGAUAAUAUUUUGAACCGCAUGGUUCAAAAGUGAAAGACGGUCUUUCUUUCACUUAUAGAUGGAUCCGCGCUUCAUUAGCUAGUUGGUAAGGUAACGGCUUACCAAGGCAACGAUGCAUAGCCGACCUGAGAGGGGGAACGGCCACACUGGAAAUGAGACACGGUGCAGACUCCUACGGGAGGCAGCAGUAGGGAAUAUUACGCAAUGGGCGAAAGCAUGACGGAGCAAAGCCGCGUGAGAGAUGAAGGUCUUCGGAGCGUAAAACUCUGUUAUUAGGGAAGAACAUAUGUGUAAGUAAAUGUGCACAUCUUGACGGUACCUAAUCAGAAAGCCACGGCUAACUACGUG
RNAcentral lists this ribosomal RNA (497 nucleotides) under uncultured bacterium. RNAcentral's name for it is "partial 16S ribosomal RNA". It matches the Rfam family "Bacterial small subunit ribosomal RNA", at positions 28 to 507 of the family's 1533-position model. The record is from RNAcentral.